UCGUGCCCUCCAUCCUCCUCCUAGGCCAGAGCCGAGCCGCCGGCCGCUGCUCAAAUUCGCAGGCCUCGGCCCCUCUCUCUUCCCCCUUGACAACCUCGCACCCUCUUGACACCACCACAAGCCCUUCCCUCGUCGCCGUUCAUCCCCAGGAGCGCCGUAUGCUCGAAGCCGAAGAUGGCCGAUGGCCUCUUCCGCGGUCGUCCAGGCCGUCGCCGCUACGGCUCUCCUCGGCAAGCGAGACGUACACCGAUGGAUGCGGCUCAUCCUCCUGAGAGCGCCGGUGGGCGGAGCGUCGCCGGAGACGCUCUGUAGCCCGGCUAUCAUCGUCGGGAGCCGCUCCUCCCCGCGGCCAGAGCGCGCGCGGGAGGUGGAAGACGACCUGCCGCUGGGGCCCGGGCGUCGGCGACCCAGCAGGCGGGCCCGUCCGUUUAAGUGGAUACGGCUCCAGCGGAUCCGCUUCCACCGCGCAGAAGGGUACUCCGCGAAGGCGCCUUCGACGUCGCCCUAUCGCCCGCGUGGCUGAGUUGCUGGGCCGGCCCAGUGGCGCCCUGCCGUUAAGCCUCGCCCCGUACAUGCUGUUGCUGCCCAAAUCCAGCCCGUUUGGUUGGCGAAGUAGACGAAAUGCUUGGAGUUGGACCAGAGAUAUUGGAAGACCUCGAAGACUUUGUUAAAACAGGCAAGCAGCCCUUUGACCAUGAUGAACCAUUUUACAUCAUAAUAGCAUUUUCGUUGCUUCACUGAGUGCAUGAUAUACCUUGAGUGGCAACCUUGCUAGGCUUGCCUACGUUGCAUACUCCAUUGAUACUUGCAUUGUUCAUGACUCUACCCUUGCUUAGAGUUGUGUUGGUGGGUUGUAGAAAUAUGCUAUAGUAGAUGGCUACGCAAAGUUGGUCAGGGUUAUGCAUGGAAAGAAACAAGUGUGGUUUGACAUACUUGCAAACAGCCCUAGUGGGUGCCACUGAUGCCCCUGGGAGAUGAUGAUGAACUAGGUCACUACUUGGUGGAGAAGUAGUGUACCGAGGCUUGAUAAAAGUGUUGUUUACAGAGACGGAUUAGAUUUAA
Long non-coding RNA from Aegilops tauschii subsp. strangulata, 1062 nucleotides. RefSeq lists it as uncharacterized. The record is from RefSeq and is a predicted model, not a curated record. Lineage: Eukaryota; Viridiplantae; Streptophyta; Magnoliopsida; Poales; Poaceae.